CCUACGGGAGGCAGCAGUAAGGAAUAUUGGUCAAUGGACGAAAGUCUGAACCAGCCAUGCCGCGUGAAGGAUGACGGCCCUCUGGGUUGUAAACUUCUUUUAUCUGGGACGAAAAAAGGGAAUUCUUUCUCACUUGACGGUACCAGAGGAAUAAGCACCGGCUAACUCCGUGCCAGCAGCCGCGGUAAUACGGAGGGUGCAAGCGUUAUCCGGAUUCACUGGGUUUAAAGGGAGCGUAGGUGGGCAGGUAAGUCAGUGGUGAAAUCUCCGGGCUUAACCCGGAAACUGCCAUUGAUACUAUUUGUCUUGAAUUAUCUGGAGGUAAGCGGAAUAUGUCAUGUAGCGGUGAAAUGCUUAGAUAUGACAUAGAACACCCAUUGCGAAGGCAGCUUACUACGGAUAUAUUGACACUGAGGCUCGAAAGCGUGGGGAUCAAACAGGAUUAGAUACCCUGGUAGUACCACGCCCUAAACGAUGGAUACUCGACAUCAGCGAUACACUGUUGGUGUCUGAGCGAAAGCAUUAAGUAUCCCACCUGGAAGUACGACCGCAAGGUUGAAACUCAAAGAGUAAGUAGACGNGUACGNGACCGAGGCCGAACGACGACGGACGUUAGGGA
Molecule: ribosomal RNA, 619 nt
Filed under: uncultured bacterium
Lineage: Bacteria
Description: bacterial SSU rRNA
Rfam family: Bacterial small subunit ribosomal RNA
Source: RNAcentral